This is a long non-coding RNA of Procambarus clarkii (red swamp crayfish), 334 nucleotides long. RefSeq lists it as uncharacterized. Lineage: Eukaryota; Metazoa; Arthropoda; Malacostraca; Decapoda; Cambaridae. The record is from RefSeq and is a predicted model, not a curated record.
UAUACAACGACAAACCUCCAGGAGUGCACGUUUUCUCUACACUACAGAAGAGGACGGGCUGCUCAGAGGACGUGGAAAAACUUAUUCAGGAAAUGAGAUGGUAGACGUGACAACCCGAAUAGCCAUUAUGACUUCUUCUCCAGCUGUUACAGAAGACCUAUUGGCCCAUACGAGGCGGCUCCUGUAUCUACCAAAUGUCAUUCAUGUCUAACCUACGCUUCGAAACGACAGAGGCGUCCAACUUCUAGAGUUAAAUGAACAAAUCGGUCGAUUAAGGCAGUGUCUGGGAUGCUCCCGGACGCAGGUUCGAAUCCUCGUCACGGCCCUUGUGGAU